Molecule: long non-coding RNA, 347 nt
Organism: Salvelinus fontinalis (brook trout)
Lineage: Eukaryota; Metazoa; Chordata; Actinopteri; Salmoniformes; Salmonidae
Exons: 3
Source: RefSeq, a predicted model, not a curated record
GGAAGGUGCUCUCUCAGCAGAACGGAAAAUAUCUCAAUGACUUGACAUGUUCUGGUUGUGAAUUCAGGCUACAAGGGGUCAGUGCUCUAAAAUGAGUCUCUCUGGGGAGAGAGAGGAGGGACCUGCCUCUAAAAUGAGUCUCUCUGGGGGACAUGACACCAAAGCUAAGAGACCAAUCAAGCAGGAGAGACCAGCCUCCCCUGUACCCAGCUGUGUGUCCAUGAAGAGUGACAAGUCUAUGAUUCUACCUAUAAACUUUAGAGAGGGAGACUUUUCUACUGAACAAAGGUAAGAAGAACUCAUGGGUCAUGGUCAGUGAGUUAAACAACACUGUCUCUAGUCAUUUC